AAGAAACAACAACGCAGCUUAAUAGGGGAGCAUGAAAAAAACUUGCCAUGCACGGAAAAAGUUUAUUAAGGCUUUAUUUAGAGAUCAUUAUGUACAUUGUGAGGGAGCCGUGACUAGCAUGACAAGCAGCUGUGGCUAGAUUUUGACUUAGGUUAUGAUGAGUCCAAUUUUUUAAACUUCUUAUGGAUAAAUCUAUUAUUGCUAAUCCUACUUGAUAAAAUGGUUAAGAGAUACACAAUGAUUAUUAUAUGUGAUAUAAAAUUAGUAAAAUAGGCAUUGGUAUUUUCAGAGCGUUACGUGCUUAUCCAAUGCUGUUGACGCUCGAGGAAAUGCCUCAAAAAAAUGUAAAUGAAUCAUAUAACAUUGCAUGGUCAAAUGAGGCUGAGGAAGAGGUUCAAACAUAUAAUUAUAGACAUUUGAAAGAAAAGACUCUUCCUUGUUGUGAUGGAUGUGCAUUAAAACAUGAAGGAUGGAGUUGUUAAUUGGUGAUCUAAGAGAAAGCUUAACAAUUGACAAAACAGCAGUGAUAGUUUAGAUAUUCAUAUCAUAGCAGUGAGAGAGGCUUUAAUAUUUGUCAAAAGGUCAUAGAUCAAAUAGCAUGAAAGGGUUGGAAAUA
This 616-nucleotide long non-coding RNA is filed under the name Phoenix dactylifera (date palm). RNAcentral's name for it is "long non-coding RNA (PDAC_LNC007950)". Lineage: Eukaryota; Viridiplantae; Streptophyta; Magnoliopsida; Arecales; Arecaceae. The record is from RNAcentral.